AGAUAAAGUUCCACCGAGGGUUAAAUGUUUUGGUAUUUUAAUAGUGUCAAUCUCAAAGCAGAGAACUCUCGGUGGAGAUGUAUUU
This is a microRNA precursor of Danio rerio (zebrafish), 85 nucleotides long. The record is from Ensembl. Lineage: Eukaryota; Metazoa; Chordata; Actinopteri; Cypriniformes; Danionidae.